UGUAUGCUGAACAUUCACAUUUGGCAAAUAUGCUCGCGAAAAUAGUCUCAAACCACAAGAGGUGUAUGCUUUCUUUUGAGGCUAACAAUAACUUACCUGUCUCAGGAGAGUCCACCUGGCCUUUGCGACAUCAAUAGCACCACAGGUCUUAUCCCGAGAGCUGUGGGAAUUAGCUGCGCAGAUGUCUUCAUUAAUAUUUUUCCUCAAAAGCGAUGCCGGCUCGGUCUUUUCUGCUGUACCGUUGGAGUCCCUCUCCAUUUUAUCUUUGAAGAUGUGGGUGGAAAUAAAUCUGCAAACAAUGUUACGCCUUGUAAGGCUGUCACAGUUAUCGGUAGAUAUGUGGUUAUACAAAAAUAAGGCUUUUUUCUGUUAACUACACCAACGCAGAACUGCUCGCAGAUAUGCUUGGCUGUAAUCACCUGUUACACCCACAAUGGAUACAUGCUACUUCCGUACACUUUUGGCAUUUGAGACAUAGCAAUAGAUUAUCGAAACAAUCAUGCUCGAUUGUCAGUUACAAACUGCCGGCUGCUCAUGGUCUGAAUUCGAUUAUUUUAGUCUGGCGUUGCUCACUACGUCAUCCACUGUGGGCUUUGUUUAGGAAAUCAUGCACGUGCAUAGAAUUUGCUUGCUGCUGUCAACGGUUACCCAACGACAGGACGUUUGAUUUAAUGAAUGAAUACACAUUUCAGGUUGAAAUACAACGCCUAUGUGUCAUGUGAAACGUGUUUUAUUGUCGAUAUGACUGACAUAAAUGUACCAGACAGUGUCAGUUAGCUACCUAAAACCACAUAAUCACAGCUAUCACGUGUUAAUGUAGCUAAUAAACCGUUCAAUCGUCGUAAUGGCGCUCCUCUCCUCUCUGCUGUGUUCACCGGUUCGUCUCGUUUCACCAUCUCGGUUACGAUUUUGGGAGCUGGCCAUUUGCAAACGGAGAACAUGGCUCUCCAUGUCGGUCCAUCGUUGUUACACGUCGGACACUACAAACUCAGUUGAUCAUCUCAGCUGUGGACUUGAGAGGUACAAGGACUUACAGAAGUAUUUCAACAGGAGACUGAAGGCAGCAUACCGCAGAUUCUCCAACAUGCCUGAUCCCUCAUUGGUAAGAACUGCCUUCUGCUUCGGGUUUGAACUAUUUCAUUAUGAUUUACAACCUCAUGUGUAAAGGACACCAACAUUCACUCUGGUGGUGUCAGGAACACAGCAUUUCUGUGUGGGGUUAGUAGGAUGUGGAAGACUCAAAUUACACUCAUUGGCAGUUGUGAACUUGAGGCAUUUGUAAUGUCUCUUGACACAGGUCUGUGGACUUCACCAUGUGUAUUUCAUUGAGGGUGACGGCAUCUACAGAAUGGACCGGAGACAAAGUGAGCAGAAAACAUGAAUUUGACUACUUUUGGUAACAACUCGUAAAGUCAGAAACUUGAGAACAGAGCCCUGUAAUGAUAUUGCAUUCUAAC
RNAcentral lists this long non-coding RNA (1457 nucleotides) under Cottoperca gobio. Its description in RNAcentral is "lncRNA (ENSCGOG00000022664.1)". The record is from RNAcentral. Lineage: Eukaryota; Metazoa; Chordata; Actinopteri; Perciformes; Bovichtidae.